UCUCCAAUCAACAGGUCUCUUUUGUGCAUCUCAAAUUAGCAGGUCUUCUCUCCUGCCCCUCCCCAGAUCCCUAAUUUUCACAUAUAGUCUCUGAUCAAUGGAAAUGGCUCACUCUGCUUGUCUCCACUCCAGAUCUGCUCGACCGGCAAAUCUCUCUCCCCCUCCCCCUCNNNNNNNNNNNNNNNNNNNNNNNNNNNNNNNNNNNNNNNNNNNNNNNNNNCCCCCCCCCCCACCCCCACCCCCACCUUUUCUCUUUUCUCAGUUUUCUCAAAUGUCAGGACCAGGUAUAUACAUCUAAUCAUUGUAUAGUUUUAUUGUUAUUUUGGGGGUUUUUUGUUGUGUGCGUUCUACAGUAUUUGACUUAUAAUCUUGGAUUUUAUGUGUGGUCUUUUGUGGGGUUGUAAUGAUUGAUUUGUUUCUGGUUUUCUACAUGUUCUCCCUGUUUCGUAAUACAUGCCCUAUUUUAUUAUUACUGGAGUUUGUUUGUUCUAGAUAAUCGGUGUUUGCGCAGUUUGUUCUCAACUUUUGAGCUUGCUUUGUGUUUUGAUUUGAGAAAUCUGUGUGUAUUGAUUUUAGGGAUAAAAAUAUGUAGUUCAAAAUCUGUUGGCGGAUGACAAAGUGAGCAUCCCUUGGCAAAGUGAGUAUUUGUUGGCGGAAUUCAUUUUGUGUGAAAUCCAGUUGAGUAUCCCGAAAAUGCAGGUCAGAUUUGUCUUGGAUAAUAGUAGAUGAUUAAUCUAGAACUACAUAAAUUAAAAGUAAACAGAGGAGCAUGCUUGUAUAUUUUUAGUGUUGAGAAAUGAGAAGUGUUCACCAAUUUACAAAGAGCAGAUGAGUAUAAUUUCCCCUCUGCAAAUAAGUGAAUUGAUGAGGCUUGUUUGAUGGGCUUAAGUUUGGCCCAGGCUAAAUGUGUUUGAUCAGAUGCUGCUGGCUCAGACAAUAAUCUUUUAUAUGAUGAUGUUUGUGUUGAAUAUAAUUUCUCACCUGGGCCAUAUAUUAGUCCUAAGUUUGUGUCACAUUUGCCGUUUUUAACUGCUGAUCAAUGAUCAUUCAUUUUACAUGACAUUUGUAGUAGCUGUUAGCUCUCUUCUUUCCUGAAAUUGAAAUUUAUUAUUACAUUUAUGUGGAUGUCUCAGUUUUAAUACUCACAUAUAUAUUUUUUCUAGAGAUUUUGGUAGCUUUGAUUUCUUCCCUAGUUAACAAGAAUUUCUCAUUGGAGAGUCAGGUCACUGAUUUACAGGUAAAAUAUAUACCUGUUUUUUAAGUUAGGUAUUGAACCAGUUUACGAAAUUUAAGUUCAGCUAUUAUAUUCAUAAUUUUUGGAGAUAAAUUACCUGAUACAUGAGUACAGAACUUGCAUUCACUUGCUAUCUUUGUACAUUUCCAGCACCAAAUUUACAGGCUCAAUGGGAGAUUGCAUCUUUGUAGUGGUUUGACCAGAUGGUAUAUCUAAUACAAUUUAUUGCUUUAUAAUAAGUUGUUUCAAAAUAUAGAAAUCUUUCUCGGUUACUUAGGAACACAUGAUUAGAUUUGCUUUCUCAAUCCAAGGUCAUUUAUAUUUAUCUCUUUUUCAUCUCCUUGUUAAAGUACAUUUUCAUGUUUUUGUUUUGACAGAAGUAAGGUUUGGUGAGAUGAGGAUGAAUGUGACUGCAGGAUUAGGCUUGCGAAAGCAUGAUAUGCAGUUAUGAAGAAUGAAUGGAGGCUUGUUAUGAAAAAGACUUCAUGUAUGCUUUCUGGAGUUCAAUUUGUUGAAUUUCAUCCUAUUUGUACUGUAAUUCAGCUAAGAUCGGAAUGUUGCAAGAUCCCAAGUUCUUAUAUAUAUGGUUACUAGUAAUUGUUGUUAUUAGUUGGCUGUGAAAACUUUUGUUACUAAUUUAUGACUUGC
Molecule: long non-coding RNA, 1882 nt
Filed under: Daucus carota (carrot)
Lineage: Eukaryota; Viridiplantae; Streptophyta; Magnoliopsida; Apiales; Apiaceae
Description: long non-coding RNA (DCAR_LNC006394)
Source: RNAcentral